CCUGGUUGAUCUUUCUAGUUGUCACAUGUUUGUCUCAAAGAUGAAGCCAUGCAUGUGUAAGUAUGAACAAAUUCAUUCUGUAAAAGUGCAAAUGGCUUAUUAAAUAAGUUAUAGUUUGUUUGAUGGUAUCUACUACUUGGAUAACCGUAGUAAUUCUAGAGCUAAAAGGUGCAACAAAACUCAACUUUUGGAAGGGAUGCAUUUAUUAUAUAAAAGGUCGAUACGGGUAUGGCCCAUCAUGGCGAUGAUUUAUGAUAACUCGAUAGAUCGCACGACCAUCGUGCCGGCAAUGCAUCAUUCAAAUUUCAGCCCUAUCAACUCUCAAUGGUAGGAUAGUUGCUUACCAUGGUGGUGAUGGGUGAUGGAGAAUUAGGGUUCGAUUUAGGACAGAGAACCUGAUAACAUCCUAGGAAGGCAGUAGGUGCACAAAUUACCCAAUCCUAACAUGGGGAGGUUUUCACAAAAUAUUAUAAUACCGGGCUCAAUGAGUCUGGUAAUUAGAAUGAGUACAAACUAAAUUCCUUAAAGAGGAUCCAUUGGAGGGCAAGUGUGGUGCCAGCAUCUGCGGUAAUUCCAUCUCGAAUAGCAUAUAUUUGAGUUAUUGCAGUUAAAAAGCUCAUAGCUGGACAUUGUGAUGGGCUGGCCGAUUCAUCUAUGGUGUGCACUGGUCAUCUCAUCCCUUCUGUCGGUGAUGCGCUCUUGGCCUUAACUGAUUGGGUCGUGCCUCCGACGCUGUUACUUUGAUAAAAUUAGAGAGCUCAAAGCAAGGCCGCGCUCUGUAUACAUUAGCAUGGGAUAACAUUAUAGGAUUUCGGUCCUAUUAAGUUGGCAUUAUGGAUCAGAGUAAUGAUUAAUAGGGACAGUCUGGGGCAUUCGUAUUUCAUAGCCAGAGGUGAAAUUCUAGGAUUUAUGAAAGACGAACAACUGAGAAAGCAUUUUCCAAUGAUGUUUUCAUUAAUCAAGAAUAAAAAUUGUGGGCUCGAAGAUGAUCAGAUACCAUCCUAGUCUCAACCAUAAACGAUGCCGACCCUGGAUCGGCAGAUGUUUCUUUUAGGACUCCGCCGACACCUUAUGUGAAAUUAAAGUUAUUGGGUUCGGGUGGGAGUAUGGUCGCAAGGCUGAAACUUAAUGGAAUUGACAGAAGGGCACCACCAGGAGUGGAGCAUGCAACUUAAUUUGACUCAACACAUGGAAACAUACCAGGUCCAGACAUAGUAAAGUGUCGUUUGGUAGAGUGUGUUAACAAAAAUAACACAUGCAUUAUUUAUUUCUAUUAUUAAUACAUGGAUUGGGACAAUUUUUAUCUAUGGAUAACUAAUACCUUAUAUUAGUUAUACACUAUAUUUGGUAUUUGACUAUGUAUUACUAAUUCCCCAUCUUUUAUAUGUAUUAGUAAUACAAAAUAUUUCAAUACAUGCAUUACAUUAUUAAAUUACAAAUUUACUCCUUAAAUUACCAAUUUCUUUCUCACCAUUUCUCCACACCUUCUUCCUUCCUAAUCAAUCAUCUUCUUAUUUUUCUGAUUUCUUUCUUUUUACUUUCUUCAGAUUAAAUUUUGUCAAUUUCAUUCCGCCACAAUGUCAACAUUCCUUAAACAACCCAAA
This 1604-nucleotide ribosomal RNA is filed under the name Capsicum annuum. RNAcentral's name for it is "SSU rRNA". It matches the Rfam family "Eukaryotic small subunit ribosomal RNA", at positions 3 to 1455 of the family's 1831-position model. Lineage: Eukaryota; Viridiplantae; Streptophyta; Magnoliopsida; Solanales; Solanaceae. The record is from RNAcentral.